AMCGCGAAGAACCUUACCUGGUCUUGACAUCCACGGAAUUUGGCAGAGAUGCCUUAGUGCCUUCGGGAACCGUGAGACAGGUGCUGCAUGGCUGUCGUCAGCUCGUGUUGUGAAAUGUUGGGUUAAGUCCCGCAACGAGCGCAACCCUUAUCCUUUGUUGCCAGCGGUYMGGCCGGGAACUCAAAGGAGACUGCCAGUGAUAAACUGGAGGAAGGUGGGGAUGACGUCAAGUCAUCAUGGCCCUUACGACCAGGGCUACACACGUGCUACAAUGGCAUUUUCAAAGAGAAGCGACCUCGCGAGAGCAAGCGGACCUCAUAACGUUUCUAGUCCGGAUUGGAGUCUGCAACUCGACUCCAUGAAGUCGGAAUCGCUAGUAAUCGKGAUCAGAA
Molecule: ribosomal RNA, 392 nt
Filed under: Enterobacter sp. AGR49
Lineage: Bacteria; Pseudomonadati; Pseudomonadota; Gammaproteobacteria; Enterobacterales; Enterobacteriaceae
Description: bacterial SSU rRNA
Rfam family: Bacterial small subunit ribosomal RNA
Source: RNAcentral